GUAGAUGCUCAUUCCACUUAUUAUGUUUGCUCCGGCUUCAUAAACCCAGGAAUGACGCAGAGCCGUUUACGGUGCUUAUCGUCCACAGACAGAUGUCGCUUCGGCCUCAUCAAACACCAUGGACAUAACGUUGAGUGAAGCACCACAUUUGUUGUCAAACAGACCUGUUUUGAUACCUGCCUUCGGGCAGGUAUUUUUUU
Small RNA from Cronobacter sakazakii ATCC BAA-894, 200 nucleotides. It matches the Rfam family "GlmZ RNA activator of glmS mRNA". From Rfam's summary of the family: This RNA was discovered in E. coli during a large scale screen. The sraJ gene was expressed in early logarithmic phase, but its level decreased with cell growth. The record is from Rfam. Lineage: Bacteria; Pseudomonadati; Pseudomonadota; Gammaproteobacteria; Enterobacterales; Enterobacteriaceae.